UGAGGAAUAUUGGUCAAUGGGCGAGAGCCUGAACCAGCCAAGUAGCGUGCAGGAUGACGGCCCUAUGGGUUGUAAACUGCUUUUAUAUGGGAAUAAAGUGAGGGACGUGUCCCUUAUUGCAUGUACCAUAUGAAUAAGGACCGGCUAAUUCCGUGCCAGCAGCCGCGGUAAUACGGAAGGUCCAGGCGUUAUCCGGAUUUAUUGGGUUUAAAGGGAGCGUAGGCUGUUUGUUAAGCGUGUUGUGAAAUGUAAGAGCUCAACUUUUAGAUUGCAGCGCGAACUGUCAGACUUGAGUGCGCACAACGUAGGCGGAAUUCAUGGUGUAGCGGUGAAAUGCUUAGAUAUCAUGAAGAACUCCGAUUGCGAAGGCAGCUUACGGGAGCGCAACUGACGCUGAAGCUCGAAGGUGCGGGUAUCGAACAGG
RNAcentral lists this ribosomal RNA (424 nucleotides) under Verrucomicrobiota bacterium. Its description in RNAcentral is "Verrucomicrobia bacterium partial 16S ribosomal RNA". It matches the Rfam family "Bacterial small subunit ribosomal RNA", at positions 355 to 776 of the family's 1533-position model. Lineage: Bacteria; Pseudomonadati; Verrucomicrobiota. The record is from RNAcentral.